CCUACGGGAGGCAGCAGUGAGGAAUAUUGGUCAAUGGGCGGGAGCCUGAACCAGCCAAGCCGCGUGAGGGAAGAAGGUACAGCGUAUCGUAAACCUCUUUUGUCAGGGAACAAAGGCGGGGACUAGUCCCCGGAUGCGGGUACCUGACGAAAAAGCAUCGGCUAACUCCGUGCCAGCAGCCGCGGUAAUACGGGGGAUGCGAGCGUUAUCCGGAUUUAUUGGGUUUAAAGGGUGCGCAGGCGGCCUGUUCAGUCAGCGGUAAACGCCCGGGGCUCAACCCCGGCGAGCCGUUGAAACUGGCGGGCUGGAGUUGGAGAGAAGUACGCGGAAUGCGCGGUGUAGCGGUGAAAUGCUUAGAUAGCGCGCAGAACCCCGAUUGCGAAGGCAGCGUACCGGCUCCACACUGACGCUGAGGCACGAAAGCGUGGGUAUCGAACAGGAGUAGAUACCCCUGUAGUC
Molecule: ribosomal RNA, 459 nt
Filed under: uncultured bacterium
Lineage: Bacteria
Description: partial 16S ribosomal RNA
Rfam family: Bacterial small subunit ribosomal RNA
Source: RNAcentral